CAGAAAUUAUUGAGGGACAGGUAGAGCAGGGUCAUUCAGAUGUACAGUGUCAGAAAGCAAAUUCAGACAGCGGUUGCCUGGAUCAACACCCAGUACUGGGAUGCCUGGAACCUGUGUGACGAGGUGAUCGACUGGGGAGACGGUGUGGAGGAGUGCUCACGAGCGACACCCCCACUGUCCAGGUUGGGGGGGAUAAGGAGGGAUUGGGAAGGGCUACUUGGGAAAAUGUGGAGGUAUCAGAAAGGGGCGUCCAAUGGUGAGAUGGAGGGGGCGGAGGCUGGUAUGAAUGUAAUGCAUAUGGUAAAUGGAGGUGAGGAGAAUGGAUGUGAGGUAGGAGUGAAUGUGGAGGAGGUUAAGGGAGAAGGAGAGAAAAGUAGAGGGAAUGCUUUGGGAUCUAUUGUGUCACAAGGAGGCAGAUCAUGGCUGGAAACCAUUCAGGAAGAAGGAUGUGAGGAAGAAGAAGAAACUGAGGUGGCGUUUCAGGAGGCACAAGACGCUGAGGUUGCCCAGUUGGACAGAUGGUGUCCAUGUGGCUGGUGUAAGGUACGUGUUUAUAUCAGUAUCUACAUGUAAAGGGAGCAGACACAGGAAAAAGGUAUUGAAGACCCUUGAUAUGAUAUUGCUGUUUUUGAUUUAGAUUCCAAAGUUAACCCUUUAUUUAAUUUAUCCCUUUUCCCCAAGUAGAAUGAUGCAUUUACUUGUAAUCUGUAUUAUUUUGCUUUGGAGUCGGAAGUUCCAAAAUCACCAGGUAAGUUAAUCGAUUGUAUGUGCUUUAUCUACUAGAUAGAUGUAAAUGAUAAGCCUUAAGAUUUAUUUUAAAUUAAUUUAUUGUUUUUUUGUAAAUUAAAAACAGGAACCCUCGUGGACCAAGACUUGAGGGCAUUUGUACCAUCCAGCUGUACAACUUUAACUGGUUCUGCAGUCUUUUUCUCCCCACAGCCUCUGCUUGUUCCCUUCUUCUCUUUCUGUCUUCCCUCCAGGAGAGCUCCUCAGGCAUCUCCAGCCUGUAAUUCCUGGGAAAUGCCACCUGCCACCCAUCCUUGGAAGCGUCGCCCAGUCUCAGGAUCUCAUACGUCACCAUUCAUCACAGAGUCACAGCGCUUGCAGACAUCUGGAUAAAAGGAAAAGCCCAUUUUUUAAAACUUACACGUUAAAUUUUCCUCUA
This is a long non-coding RNA of Brienomyrus brachyistius, 1165 nucleotides long. RefSeq lists it as uncharacterized. NCBI's taxonomy places the organism in Eukaryota, Metazoa, Chordata, Actinopteri, Osteoglossiformes, Mormyridae. The record is from RefSeq and is a predicted model, not a curated record. The transcript has 3 exons.